This 481-nucleotide ribosomal RNA is filed under the name uncultured bacterium. Its description in RNAcentral is "partial 16S ribosomal RNA". It matches the Rfam family "Bacterial small subunit ribosomal RNA", at positions 30 to 506 of the family's 1533-position model. The record is from RNAcentral.
AUUGAACGCUGGCGGCAUGCCUUACACAUGCAAGUCGAACGGUAACGGGCCUUCGGGUGCCGACGAGUGGCGAACGGGUGAGUAAUACAUCGGAACGUGCCCGAUCGUGGGGGAUAACGAGGCGAAAGCUUUGCUAAUACCGCAUACGAUCUACGGAUGAAAGCAGGGGACCGCAAGGCCUUGCGCGGACGGAGCGGCCGGUGGCAGAUUAGGUAGUUGGUGGGAUAAAAGCUUACCAAGCCGACGAUCUGUAUCUGGUCUGAGAGGAUGAUCAGCCACACUGGGACUGAGACACGGCCCAGACUCCUACGGGAGGCAGCAGUGGGGAAUUUUGGACAAGGGGCGCAAGCCUGAUCCAGCCAUGCCGCGUGCAGGAUGAAGGCCUUCGGGUUGUAAACUGCUUUUGUACGGAACGAAAAGCCUUCUUUUAAUACAGGAGGGUCAUGACGGUACCGUAAGAAUAAGCACCGGCUAACUACGU